GUGAGGAUUAAGGUUAGGGUUGGGGAGGUGUGGGUAAAAUGGGGGUACUAGAAAGGCACGAAAGGUUGCAAGAUCGAGUCCCCCUGCAGACAAGGUAAAAAUCUGUCGCUCUGCCCCUGAAGAAGGCAGUUAACCCACUGUUCCGAGGCCGUCAUUGUAAAUAAGAAUUUGUUCUUAACUGACUUGCCUAGUUAAGUAAAGUUAAAAUAGAAAUUAGACCAGGUGAUGGAAUAGAGAGAGAUGGAGGGUAGGUGGGGGUAAAAGGGGGUACUAUAAACCCACAACACAGUGCUGUGUCAUUACUAGACCAGGUGAUGGAAUAGAGAGAGAUGGAGGGGAGGUGGGGGUAAAAGGGGGUACUAUAAACCCACAACACAGUGCUGUGUCAUUACUAGACCAGGUGAUGGAAUAGAGAGAGAUGGAGGGGAGGUGGGGGUAAAAUGGGGUACUAUAAACCCACAACACAGUGCUGUGUCAUUACUAGACCAGGUGAUGGAAUAGAGAGAGAUGGAGGGGACGUGGGGGUAAAAUGGGGUACUAUAAACCCACAACACAGUGCUGUGUCAUUACUAGACCAGGUGAUGGAAUAGAGAGAGAUGGAGGGGAGGUGGGGGUAAAAUGGGGUACUAUAAACCCACAACACAGUGCUGUGUCAUUACUAGACCAGGUGAUGGAAUAGAGAGAGAUGGAGGGGAGGUGGGGGUAAAAUGGGGUACUAUAAACCCACAACACAGUGCUGUGUCAUUACUAGACCAGGUGAUGGAAUAGAGAGAGAUGGAGGGGAGGUGGGGGUAAAAUGGGGUACUAUAAACCCACAACACAGUGCUGUGUCAUUACUAGACCAGGUGAUGGAAUAGAGAGAGAUGGAGGGGAGGUGGGGGUAAAAUGGGGUACUAUAAACCCACAACACAGUGCUGUGUCAUUACUAGACCAGGUGAUGGAAUAGAGAGAGAUGGAGGGGAGGUGGGGGUAAAAUGGGGUACUAUAUACCCACAACACAGUGCUGUGUCAUUACUAGACCAGGUGAUGGAAUAGAGAGAUGGAGGGGAGGUGGGGGUAAAAUGGGGUACUAUAAACCCACAACACAGUGCUGUGUCAUUACUAGACCAGGUGAUGGAAUAGAGAGAGAUGGAGGGGAGGUGGGGGUAAAAUGGGGUACUAUAAACCCACAACACAGUGCUGUGUCAUUACUAGACCAGGUGAUGGAAUAGAGAGAGAUGGAGGGGAGGUGGGGGUAAAAUGGGGUACUAUAAACCCACAACACAGUGCUGUGUCAUUACUAGACCAGGUGAUGGAAUAGAGAGAGAUGGAGGGGAGUAGUUGUGUGUGGAUGGUGCGUAGUCGGCAAUGUGCUAAACAGCGAGGACGUUGAUGUGUGGAUUAGAUCAUGAUGGUUGUGAUUGUCACCGUUUAUCACUCAAAGCCAAAGGUUCAGAUGCUCCCGGUGUUUUCCAUCUGUCUGUGCAGUCAGAUUUUUACAGAGAAUAACUUAUUAUGGUUAGAGGACAGAGAGUCUGCUUCCCAAACGGACCCCUAUUCCCUAUAUAGGGCCCUAUAUGCCUCUGGUCAAAGUAUUGCACUAUAUAGGAAUAGGGUGCCAUAGGUCCCUGUUAAAAGUAGUGCACUAUGUAGGGAAUAAGGUGCCAUAGGGCCUUGUUCAAAGUAGUGCACUAUGUAGGGAAUAAGGUGCCAUAGGGCCCUGUUCAAAGUAGUGCACUAUGUAGGGAAUAAGGUGCCAUUUGGGAGGCAUGCUGUCUUUUCUCCAUGGAGGGUUUACUGUUGAAACCAUCAUCUAGUCCCUUUAGUCAAAACCCUUUAGGUUAUCCCAUAGUAAUAAUAAUGAUACUGGUACAGAUGUUGUUUUUAUAGAAAUUACAGUAUAUCCAUUGAUAUAGUUGAUGACUUUUAUAUUAUGGGAGAGAAUUUAAAAAAUAUAAUAAAAAAUGUCUAUAUUUAGCUUCUCUAUUUUACCCUUUGGGUUUCGCUUUUUUGUCUGCAUAAAUUAUACGACUAUGAUUAUUUGUACCCGAUGAAAAACUGAACAAACAAAUAUAUAUAAUACACAACUGUCAUGUUUUAGUUGUAGGCUACAACACCAACGGUUUUGGGGUUAAAGCUUUUCUCGUUGUCUUUAUGGAGUCGUCAUAUGGAUCAUGACACACUACAAGUAAAUGCAAUCAUAAUGUACAUAUUAUCAUGGUAUUCUUUGGGGGUCAGCUGUACUAUUUUGCCGACAGACACACACAGCCUGUACACAGUCUUCACUACUACUAGACAGACACACACAGCCUGUACACAGUCUUCACUACUACUAGACAGACACACACAGCCUGUACACAGUCUUCACUACUACUAGACAGACACACACAGCCUGUACACAGUCUUCACUACUACUAGACAGACACACACAGCCUGUACACAUUAUUCACUACUACUAGACAGGCACACACAGCCUGUACACAGUCUUCACUACUACUAGACAGACACACACAGCCUGUACACAGUCUUCACUACUACUAGACAGACACACACAGCCUGUACACAGUCUUCACUACUACUAGACAGACACACACAGCCUGUACACAGUCUUCACUACUACUAGACAGACACACACAGCCUGUACACAGUCUUCACUACUACUAGACAGACACACACAGCCUGUACACAGUCUUCACUACUACUAGACAGACA
This is a long non-coding RNA of Oncorhynchus keta (chum salmon), 2691 nucleotides long. RefSeq lists it as uncharacterized. The record is from RefSeq and is a predicted model, not a curated record. The transcript has 12 exons. Lineage: Eukaryota; Metazoa; Chordata; Actinopteri; Salmoniformes; Salmonidae.